Molecule: long non-coding RNA, 856 nt
Organism: Diprion similis
Lineage: Eukaryota; Metazoa; Arthropoda; Insecta; Hymenoptera; Diprionidae
Exons: 2
Source: RefSeq, a predicted model, not a curated record
GAAAAAAAUAAUACGUAUUUCAACACUCGUGAGAAACUAAUGAUUGCGGUAGUGAUAAUAUUUCAUGAUUAUCUCUUUAUAGAUCGCAUGUAAAUUCAAGAUAUCCCGUUACACAGAAGAGCGAAACUCAUUAUGUAUGCUGAUUGAAGCAGUGAUACUUGCAUUGAUCACAGUUAAGGACAAAUCAAUAUAAGGUGUUCAAUAAGUGCACCUAAGAAUAACACAUACGACUACAUCUACAACGUAUUAAUUUAUAAAUUAAACAAUAAGAAAUCAGGAAUAUGUUAACACAAAGGUAUUGACCAUGGUGCUGUUUAUUGGCUUUCCACAGCAUAUAUAAACUGUGGAAACGGAUCGAAGAGAGUAUAGUACGACUUGAUCUUCGAAGUAGUCUACAAGUACAAUUUAAACCAUGAAGCUGUUGCUAACUCUCUUCGCUGCGCUAUUCUGCGUGGUAUUUGUCACAAGUGCUCCGUUGGAUGAUGAGGCCCGUGAUAAGAGGCAUCUUCUCGUCAGUCAUGGACCUGCAGUAGUUUCGGUACCACUUAUUGCUCCGGCACCUCUCGUUCAUGGACCAGUCGUCGUAGGACCUCAUUGGCCACAUCCUGUUGCUUAUGGUCAUUCAAUUGUCAAGUAUUGGUAGAAAGAGGCGAAGAUUGCAACGUCAAAAAUUUGUAUAAACAACAAUUUUCUACUGCUUUUGUCAGUUCCAUUUUAAGUAAAAAAUUUAGGGACACAAAUUUUAUCUUGGAUGUAAACUAUUUUUGACACUUCUGAUACUUAAACUCUUAUGUAGAGCUCUACGACAUUCCGAAAAAUACUAACAAUUACCCAAUUAAUGGGCAUUAAAACCAUU